CAGCAGAGCCGCGGUAAUACGGAGGGAGCUAGCGUUGUUCGGAAUUACUGGGCGUAAAGCGCGCGUAAGCGGUUACUCAAGUCAGAGGUGAAAGCCCGGGGCUCAACCCCGGAACUGCCUUUGAAACUAGGUGACUAGAAUCUUGGAGAGGUCAGUGGAAUUCCGAGUGUAGAGGUGAAAUUCGUAGAUAUUCGGAAGAACACCAGUGGCGAAGGCGACUGACUGGACAAGUAUUGACGCUGAGGUGCGAAAGCGUGGGGAGCAAACAGGAUUAGAUACCCGAGUAGUCCCUGUCUCUUAUACA
Molecule: ribosomal RNA, 304 nt
Filed under: uncultured bacterium
Lineage: Bacteria
Description: partial 16S ribosomal RNA
Rfam family: Bacterial small subunit ribosomal RNA
Source: RNAcentral